CUUCCAAUAUUAAUCCGCCGAGCGUAUAUUGAAAGUGUCGGUUAUCCGACUAUGGCGAUAAACGUCGUAUGGAAUAAGCGUCAUGGACCCGGGGGCAGUACCCGGCGCCUCCACCACUUAGCAGUUUCGCGCUGCGCGCGGUACCUUAUGGGGGCGAACUAGGUUCGACAUGCGUGGUAAAGGUGCGAUUUUUGCCCGGUAUGAUACCACCGUUAUCGGGUCAAAACAUAAUUGCCAACGAUAAUGAAUUGGCACUUGCUGCUUAGAACUUCUAGGUAAGCGCGGUCCGGGGGGCGCCGGGCAACAGAAGCCCCCCAC
This 318-nucleotide transfer-messenger RNA is filed under the name marine eukaryotic metagenome. Its description in RNAcentral is "Alphaproteobacteria transfer-messenger RNA". It matches the Rfam family "Alphaproteobacteria transfer-messenger RNA". Rfam says of the family: Bacterial tmRNA, also known as 10Sa RNA or SsrA, is named for its dual tRNA and mRNA-like properties. Its role is to liberate the mRNA from a stalled ribosome. To accomplish this part of the tmRNA is used as a reading frame that ends in a translation stop signal. The record is from RNAcentral.